This 73-nucleotide transfer RNA is filed under the name Monodelphis domestica (gray short-tailed opossum). It matches the Rfam family "tRNA". Rfam says of the family: Transfer RNA (tRNA) molecules are approximately 80 nucleotides in length. Lineage: Eukaryota; Metazoa; Chordata; Mammalia; Didelphimorphia; Didelphidae. The record is from Rfam by way of RNAcentral.
ACAGGGUUAGGCUUAAUGGAAAGAACACUGAAUUGGGAGUUCAAAGGGUUUAGGUUCAAACCUUGAUUCUGUU